This 995-nucleotide small RNA is filed under the name Histoplasma ohiense. RNAcentral's name for it is "hypothetical lncRNA". The record is from RNAcentral. Lineage: Eukaryota; Fungi; Ascomycota; Eurotiomycetes; Onygenales; Ajellomycetaceae.
CGAAGGCGGAGCGCGUCCACUCGUACCAGUAGUAGUAGACGAAAUUGGUGACGGAGAUGCCGAAGAGGGCGGAUUCGAGACCGGCAUAUAGACCCCGGAACCCCUCGCGUGCGAUUAUGUGGCGGAUGGCAUCGAGGGUGGAGGAUUGUGCGCGCUUGGAUUCUACUUGGGCGCGGGUGGACAGGGUAAUGAGAGGGUAGCUAUUUUGCAGGGUUUCGUCUUGUGUAAGUAAGGCUUUUCGUUUUGGAUUGUCGGUUAGUAUAAUGGAUAGAGAGAGGGCUCACGUUAAGACCAUGGACAAAAUGCCACCUCCGGCGCCGGCGAGCGCAUGAGCGAUAUUAUCGCUUUGUUGAGCUGCAGCGGCAGCUACAACCGCCUUUUGCUGCUCUCUCGGGACCGGCUGGGACAUGUUCACGAUAUGGUUUCAAGGAGUUCAGAUAGCGGGGCGGGAUAAUAUAUGAGAAGAAUGUUAGCCCGGCGUCGUUGGCACGGGAAGGCAGUCUGCUAAUAAAAAAGGAAAUUAGGGAGCGGAAGAAAAUAUCGAUACGGAACUCAAAAACACAAGACGAAUAUGUGGAUAAAUAUUUAAAGAUAUCAGCGGCCCGUGUUUCAGUCUGAUAUUCUGGCCCGUUGCACGUAAAUAUGCAUCUUGUGGUUUGCCGGAUGAUUGGAGCUUGUGCCUCACUGCCUCGGCUUGAAAGAUAUUUAAAUAAAUAACCACGAUACAUAAGAUAUACUCCAGCAACGAGAUCAUCUAUGUGAGGUACUAGCACAUCCUCUUCUGUUUUUUCCCUUCUGCUUCCACAUAGCUAUUUUUUGCCAGUUGGUAGAUAUAUAACUUUUUAUACAAAACGCCAGGCUGGAUGGAUCGGGUUGUUUCACGCAAGUUUCAUCUUGAGAUAACUACUUCAACGCUUUGUAACUGCUGGAGCCUCAGACGAGCGCAUGGCGGCUGGGAGAAACAUUCAAUCGCCCAAAUCUAAUGAAACGACGGG